Molecule: ribosomal RNA, 236 nt
Filed under: uncultured bacterium
Lineage: Bacteria
Description: partial 16S ribosomal RNA
Rfam family: Bacterial small subunit ribosomal RNA
Source: RNAcentral
GAUCAUGGCUCAGAUUGAACGCUGGCGGCAGGCUUAACACAUGCAAGUCGAACGGUAACAUGAAGAAGCUUGCUUCUUUGAUGACGAGUGGCGGACGGGUGAGUAAUGCUUGGGAAUCUAGCUUAUGGAGGGGAUAACUACGGGAAACUGUAGCUAAUACCGCGUAGAAUCGAGAGAUGAAAGUGUGGGACCGUUCGGCCGACAUGCCAUAGGAUGAGCCCAACGUGGGAGUUGGG